RNAcentral lists this ribosomal RNA (253 nucleotides) under uncultured bacterium. Its description in RNAcentral is "partial 16S ribosomal RNA". It matches the Rfam family "Bacterial small subunit ribosomal RNA", at positions 524 to 776 of the family's 1533-position model. The record is from RNAcentral.
UACGGAGGGAGCUAGCGUUGUUCGGAAUUAUUGGGCGUAAAGCGCGCGCAGGCGGCCUUUUAAGUCUGAUGUGAAAGCCCACGGCUCAACCGUGGAAGGUCAUUGGAAACUGAAAGGCUUGAGUACAGAAGAGGAAAGCGGAAUUCCACGUGUAGCGGUGAAAUGCGUAGAGAUGUGGAGGAACACCAGUGGCGAAGGCGGCUCACUGGCCCGGUACUGACGCUCAUGUGCGAAAGCGUGGGGAGCAAACAGG